AUAUUGCGCAAUGGAGGGAACUCUGACGCAGCGACGCCGCGUGAGCGAUGAAGGUCUUCGUAUCGUAAAGCUCUGUCCUUGGGGAAGAAGGGAGCCGUAAAGCUUCUUGACGGUACCCAUGCAGGAAGCCCCGGCUAACUACGAGCCAGCAGCCGCGGUAAUACGGAGGGGGCAAGCGUUGUCCGGAAUUAUUGGGAGUAAAGGGUGCGUAGGCGGCCCUUUAAGUCAGAUGUGAAAGCCCACGGCUUAACCGUGGGACUGCAUUUGAAACUGGAGGGCUUGAGUGUCGGGGAGAGCAGUGGAAUUCCCAGUGUAGCGGUGGAAUGCGUAGAUAUUGGGAGGGACACCAGUGGCGAAGGCGACUGCCUGGACGAUAACUGACGCUGAGGCACGAAAGCUAGGGGAGCAAAC
RNAcentral lists this ribosomal RNA (411 nucleotides) under uncultured bacterium. RNAcentral's name for it is "partial 16S ribosomal RNA". It matches the Rfam family "Bacterial small subunit ribosomal RNA", at positions 361 to 773 of the family's 1533-position model. The record is from RNAcentral.